This 452-nucleotide ribosomal RNA is filed under the name uncultured Bifidobacterium sp. RNAcentral's name for it is "bacterial SSU rRNA". It matches the Rfam family "Bacterial small subunit ribosomal RNA", at positions 173 to 640 of the family's 1533-position model. Lineage: Bacteria; Bacillati; Actinomycetota; Actinomycetes; Bifidobacteriales; Bifidobacteriaceae. The record is from RNAcentral.
CUCCGACUCCUCGCAUGGGGUGUCGGGAAAGAUUAUAUCGGUAUGGGAUGGGGUCGCGUCCUAUCAGGUAGUCGGCGGGGUAACGGCCCACCGAGCCUACGACGGGUAGCCGGCCUGAGAGGGCGACCGGCCACAUUGGGACUGAGAUACGGCCCAGACUCCUACGGGAGGCAGCAGUGGGGAAUAUUGCACAAUGGGCGCAAGCCUGAUGCAGCGACGCCGCGUGCGGGAUGACGGCCUUCGGGUUGUAAACCGCUUUUGAUCGGGAGCAAGCCUUCGGGUGAGUGUACCUUCCGAAUAAGCACCGGCUAACUACGUGCCAGCAGCCGCGGUAAUACGUAGGGUGCAAGCGUUAUCCGGAAUUAUUGGGCGUAAAGGGCUCGUAGGCGGUUCGUCGCGUCCGGUGUGAAAGUCCAUCGCUUAACGGUGGAUCUGCGCCGGGUACGGGCGGG